UAGCCGUAAACGAUACUCGCUAGGUGUCGGCCACGGUGCGACCGUUGUCGGUGCCGUAGGGAAGCCGUGAAGCGAGCCACCCGGGAAGUACGGCCGCAAGGCUGAAACUUAAAGGAAUUGGCGGGGGAGGCACAACAACGGGUGGAGCUUGCGGUUUAAUUGGAUUCUAACGCCGGAAAUCUUACCGGGACCGGACAGCAACAUGAAGGCCAAGCUGAAGACUUUGCCGGAUUAGCUGAGAGGUGGUGCAUGGCGUAGUCGUGU
This 264-nucleotide ribosomal RNA is filed under the name uncultured archaeon. RNAcentral describes it as "partial 16S ribosomal RNA". It matches the Rfam family "Archaeal small subunit ribosomal RNA", at positions 748 to 1009 of the family's 1478-position model. The record is from RNAcentral.